UCCGUGUUUCCACGGCAGUCCCACUAGAGUCCCGCUUUUCAGCAAGCAACUAAUGGCAAGGGUUGCGCUCGUUCAAGGACUUAACCCGACGUCUCACGACACGAGCUGACGACAGCCAUGCAGCACCUGUGUAACCGUCUGUAUUGCUACAGAACCCAGUGUUUCCACCAGUAGCGAUUACAUGUCAAACCCAGGUAAGGUUCCUCGCGUAGUGUCGAAUUAAACCACAUGUUCCACCGCUUGUGCGGACCCCCGUCAAUUCCUUUGAGUUUUAAUCUUGCGACCGUACUUCCCAGGUGGAUCACUUAACGCGUUAGCUUCGACACAGAUCCUGCUAUGCAAGACCUACAUCUAGUGAUCAUCGUUUACGGCGUGGACUAC
This 381-nucleotide unclassified non-coding RNA is filed under the name uncultured bacterium. RNAcentral describes it as "contains 16S-23S intergenic spacer region". The record is from RNAcentral.